Molecule: ribosomal RNA, 1714 nt
Filed under: Arsenophonus endosymbiont of Meccus mazzottii
Lineage: Bacteria; Pseudomonadati; Pseudomonadota; Gammaproteobacteria; Enterobacterales; Morganellaceae
Description: bacterial SSU rRNA
Rfam family: Bacterial small subunit ribosomal RNA (bases 1-1512)
Source: RNAcentral
CGAUUGCGGCAAGCCUAACACAUGCAAGUCGAGCGGCAGCGGAAGGAAGCUUGCUUCCUUGCCGGCGAGCGGCGGACGGGUGAGUAAGGUAUGGGGAUCUGGCCAAAGGCGGGGGAUAACCACUGGAAACGGUGGCUAAUACCGCAUAAUCUCUAAGGAGCAAAGUGGGGGACCAUUAUGGCCUCACACCUUCGGAUGAACCCAUAUGAGAUUAGCUAGUAGGUGGGGUAAAGGCUCACCUAGGCGACGAUCUCUAGCUGGUCUGAGAGGAUGAUCAGCCACACUGGGACUGAGACACGGCCCAGACUCCUACGGGAGGCAGCAGUGGGGAAUAUUGCACAAUGGGCGCAAGCCUGAUGCAGCCAUGCCGCGUGUAUGAAGAAGGCCUUCGGGUUGUAAAGUACUUUCAGUCGUGAGGAAGGUGUUAAGGUUAAUAGCCUUAGCAAUUGACGUUAGCGACAGAAGAAACACCGGCUAACUCCGUGCCAGCAGCCGCGGUAAUACGGAGGGUGCGAGCGUUAAUCGAAAUUACUGGGCGUAAAGGGCACGCAGGCGGUUAAUUAAGUUGGAUGUGAAAUCCCCGGGCUUAACCUGGGAAUGGCAUUCAAGACUGGUUAGCUAGAGUCUUGUAGAGGGGGGUAGAAUUCCAUGUGUAGCGGUGAAAUGCGUAGAGAUGUGGAGGAAUACCGGUGGCGAAGGCGGCUCCCUGGACAAAGACUGACGCUCAUGUGCGAAAGCGUGGGGAGCAAACAGGAUUAGAUACCCUGGUAGUCCACGCUGUAAACGAUGUCGAUUUGGAGGUUGUGGUCUAGAACUGUGGCCUCCGGGAGCUAACGCGUUAAAUCGACCGCCUGGGGAGUACGGGCCGCAAGGUUAAAACUCAAAUGAAUUGACGGGGGCCCGCACAAGCGGUGGAGCAUGUGGUUUAAUUCGAUGCAACGCGAAGAACCUUACCUACUCUUGACAUCCAGCGAAGCCUUUAGAGAUAGAGGUGUGCCUUCGGGAGCGCUGAGACAGGUGCUGCAUGGCUGUCGUCAGCUCGUGUUGUGAAAUGUUGGGUUAAGUCCCGCAACGAGCGCAACCCUUAUCCUUUGUUGCCAGCGAUUCGGUCGGGAACUCAAAGGAGACUGCCGGUGAUAAACCGGAGGAAGGUGGGGAUGACGUCAAGUCAUCAUGGCCCUUACGAGUAGGGCUACACACGUGCUACAAUGGCGUAUACAGAGAGAGGCGAGCCUGCGAGGGGAAGCGGAACUCAGAAAGUACGUCAAAGUCCGGAUUGGAGUCUGCAACUCGACUCCAUGAAGUCGGAAUCGCUAGUAAUCGCGGAUCAGCAUGUCGCGGUGAAUACGUUCCCGGGCCUUGUACACACCGCCCGUCACACCAUGGGAGUGGGUUGCAAAAGAAGUAGGUAGCUUAACCUUUUGGAUGGCGCUUACCACUUUGUGAUUCAUGACUGGGGUGAAGUCGUAACAAGGUAACCGUAGGGGAACCUGCGGUUGGAUCACCUCCUUACCUAGAUAGAUGGAAUGUGAGUGUUCACACAGAUUGUCUGAUGAAAUAGCGCGUAAAGCCAAUCUAAGAUUGACUGAAGAGCUUGAAGUCCCCUUCGUCUAGAGGCCUAGGACAUCGCCCUUUCACGGCGGUAACAGGGGUUCGAAUCCCCUAGGGGACGCCACUUUAGUGAUUUAGAAAGGCUGUGCAUCAAAUCACUAGU